CUCACAUAUUCCAUUUUUAUUAAUGAUACCCUGACGUGCAGCAUAUCCGGACCAGGGGAGCCCGGGAAGUUUCAAUCAGCACACAGAGGAGCUCUUAUAUUGCUUAUUUCAGGGCUUCAUGCAUGAGACUGAACACUGUAUUUUACCCAGCUGCAUGAAUCUGCAAAGAUUAUAAAGCCCAGGGGUUUGCUCUUUUCUUUCAAAGAUGAAAAAAAUAAUAUUUCUUCUUAUUUUAACUGCCAUAACCUCAUAAUAACUCCAGAAGUUCCUUAGAAGCAGCAAACCUCUCCCUGCAGCGACACUGAACGCUGGCAUUUCACACCCGGUGCCUGCAGCACAGUGUGGGCCUGCAGUGGGGCUGGGCUUCACUUGCAGUUCUGCCUGAGGCUCUAUCAGCCCCUUGUUCAGCACUGUGAACACGAAUUCAAAAUCAACUGCCAUUUGUUCGGAGUUCUCUUCAGUUAAACUAAUGGAGCAGCUGGACCUACUGAACACAUUUUACCCAUGCAAUGCUCCACGGCAGCUCGCGACGGAGGGCAGUGCCCCGCUAUUGCCCUGUGCUACGUUGUGUUUAAAAGGAGAACACUAGAUUUAAAAUUCAGCCCUGGAGACAUUCAACCUCACUCCAGAGAUGUCACUGUUCAGCAGGUGGGAUUCAGAGAUGCCUGGAGGGAGACGGAGCCAUUUCCCCACCUCCUGAGCACUUAACUACUUUCUUGGUCAUUCCUGCUUCUUGAAGACGAGACUUUUCAGAUCCCUCAGCCAACCAGAGCAAGAUGAAGCAGUGUAUUUUGCUUUCACAUCCAGUGAGAAACCAUAAAUAUUUCUUCCCAAACUGUAAUGAAGAACAUAUUUUACUAAAAGCAAAGCCAGUGCUAGAUCCUCCUUUCUCACACUUUCUAAAUGCCUGUGAGACGUGACAGAAAU
RNAcentral lists this long non-coding RNA (927 nucleotides) under Numida meleagris (helmeted guineafowl). RNAcentral's name for it is "lncRNA (ENSNMEG00000007880.1)". Lineage: Eukaryota; Metazoa; Chordata; Aves; Galliformes; Numididae. The record is from RNAcentral.